Molecule: ribosomal RNA, 450 nt
Filed under: uncultured bacterium
Lineage: Bacteria
Description: partial 16S ribosomal RNA
Rfam family: Bacterial small subunit ribosomal RNA
Source: RNAcentral
GUGGGGAAUAUUGGACAAUGGGCGAAAGCCUGAUCCAGCCAUGCCGCGUGUGUGAAGAAGGUCUUCGGAUUGUAAAGCACUUUAAGUUGGGAGGAAGGGCAGUAAGUUAAUACCUUGCUGUUUUGACGUUACCGACAGAAUAAGCACCGGCUAACUUCGUGCCAGCAGCCGCGGUAAUACGUAGGGUGCAAGCGUUAAUCGGAAUUACUGGGCGUAAAGCGUGCGCAGGCGGAUUUGUAAGACAGUGGUGAAAUCCCCGGGCUCAACCUGGGAACUGCAUCCAAAACUGGCGAGCUAGAGUACGGUAGAGGGUGGUGGAAUUUCCUGUGUAGCGGUGAAAUGCGUAGAUAUAGGAAGGAACACCAGUGGCGAAGGCGACCACCUGGACUGAUACUGACACUGAGGUGCGAAAGCGUGGGGAGCAAACAGGAUUAGAAACCCUAGUAGUCC